Molecule: non-coding RNA, 1716 nt
Organism: Nothobranchius furzeri (turquoise killifish)
Lineage: Eukaryota; Metazoa; Chordata; Actinopteri; Cyprinodontiformes; Nothobranchiidae
Source: RefSeq, a predicted model, not a curated record
CACCCUUGCAUUUAGUGUAUCAAUAGGUGGGCGGUAACCUGGCCCACCUCUUUGGUUAUAAAAAGGUCAUGCUGUUCAGCCACUGUGCCAUUUACUUGGUAAAACCUCUGGGUCAAAGCUUUCUCAGUUUUUGCUGUGAAGUGGAAGCCAUCUUUUACUUUUAGUAGCUUUGUUUGUGCAUUUCUCCAUCUUCUUUGAAGAUUUUGUUUCCUGAUUUGCCAGCUACAACCUGCCAAGAUGCCUCGUGGCAAAGGGUACCGUAGAGCUCAGGCCUUGAAGAACAGACAGUUUAUGCCGAAGCCUGUGGAAGAGCUGUUCGAGAUUCUGCCAAGCUGUACGGCUUUUACUCCACGUCACGGAACAGGCUUCAGGCACAGGGUUUGUCGUUGGCCCUUGUCGCCUAACACAGGAAAAAGUCUGAAAGUCAUCAUCCCACCAGAGUCUUCAGACAAGAAGGUACAUUUAGCUAAUAAUUUAUAUUAAUAUUAAACUAUAUUAUGUGCUUAUAGGUUCACACACAGAUUGCUGUGUGUUCUUUAGUUUCUAAAGUGCUUUGUGAUUUUUAUCUUCAGAGGUCCUUCAUUAAACAAUUGUUUCUUCUUCUAGUUUGUCUUUGUCAUAGGAGAUUCACAUCUCCGAGCCAUUGUGGAUGGCUAUGUGAAGGUGCCUGAGGGGAAGCUGUCCUUUGGCUACCUGUCGGUUCCUGGUGGUACAGCAGCCCACCUUACCACUGAGGUCCGGCAGUUAGUUCUCCCACGUGAACCAGAUGCAGUGUGUCUGCUCGCUCCAAGCAACAACCUGGACAGUCCUAUUUCUGAAGCAGAAAAAGACUUCAAGUGUCUUUUGAACACCAUUUCCACUCUUUGUCCAAAUGUUUUUGUUUUGGAUUUCCCUCCAAGACUGAGCCAUGACACCGUUGUGCAGGACCAUCUGAGGAUGAUGUUUCACAGGGUCUCAGUACAAAUGGAUGUCCCAUACUCAUCAAUUGCUGAGAACUUCCCCUUUCAUCGCCUGGAUUUGUGGGGCAGAGAUGGGGUAAGUGAGAAGUUUACAGAUUUUUAAUGAUUAAGAGGUAUUAGCUUUAGCUAAAAAUAUAUUUUUUUUCUAUAGGUUCAUCUCAGUGACAGUGAUGGUAUGGACAUUUUUUCACAAUUGCUCUGGCAAAAAACAUACCUGCACCUCCAAAGUCAGAAGGCCCAGGUUACCCCCAAGAAGUCUGCUGCUAGAGUGGUCGUUCAACACGCAAAGCCCAUUCAACCCCAAGCAGACCAAUCUAAGUGGAAAGUUGUUUUGCCUGGCAAGAAGAGGUCUACUCCAGCUGGUCCAAAGGAGCAGAGAUCAUCUUCAAAGAGAAUUCUUCUUCAUGAGGUGAAUGAUUAAUUUUAAUUAAUUAGGGUUCCAAGCCCAAAGGGCAGAGAACCCUAUUGUUUUUGAUAAAUGAGAUUUUAUUUGAUGUUCGUCAUGUUGAUUGAUAUGAGUUUUUCUAAUAUUGUCUACAUCAAAAUGUUCAGGCCGAAGUCUGCUUUGAAGUGAAUCCCAAAUACUUCCACGAAGAUCUGCUGCAUGUCUUGGAAAAUGACAGUACUGGAUGUCCAGAUGUGCUUUCACCAGAUGUCCGACAAAAAAAGGUAAAUAUGAAGAAAUAUGUUUUUUCAUUAAAAUGUUUUGAUAUUCAUCUUUAAUUCAUUAUUAAUUUUAGAUAUUUGUCACCUAAGA